GACGAACGCUGGCGGCGUGCUUAACACAUGCAAGUCGAACGGAAAGGCCCUGCUUUCGUGGGGUGCUCGAGUGGCGAAGGGGUGAGUAACACGAGAGAAACGUGCCCUUGACUUUGGGAUAAAUUCAGGAAACUGGGGAUAAUACCGGAUAGGAGCUCCUGCUGCAUGGUGGGGGUGGGAAAGUUUCGGCGGUUGGGGAUGGACUCUCGGCUUAUCAGCUUGUUGGUGGGGUAGUGGCUUACCAAGGCUUUGACGGGUAGCCGGCCUGAGAGGGUGACCGGCCACAUUGGGACUGAGAUUCGGCCCAGACUCCUACGGGAGGCAGCAGUGGGGAAUAUUGCACAAUGGGCGGAAGCCUGAUGCAGCAACGCCGCGUGCGGGAUGACGGCCUUCGGGUUGUAAACCUCUUUCACCUGUGACGAAGCGUGAGUGACGGUAAUGGGUAAAGAAGCACCGGCUAACUACGUG
RNAcentral lists this ribosomal RNA (468 nucleotides) under uncultured bacterium. RNAcentral describes it as "partial 16S ribosomal RNA". It matches the Rfam family "Bacterial small subunit ribosomal RNA", at positions 28 to 507 of the family's 1533-position model. The record is from RNAcentral.